This 1305-nucleotide ribosomal RNA is filed under the name Tesseropora rosea. RNAcentral describes it as "16S ribosomal RNA". The stretch from base 862 to 1227 matches the Rfam family "Bacterial large subunit ribosomal RNA", at positions 2073 to 2647 of the family's 2925-position model. Lineage: Eukaryota; Metazoa; Arthropoda; Thecostraca; Balanomorpha; Tetraclitidae. The record is from RNAcentral.
UAGAAAAUAUAGUUUUUGGAUAAAAUUUUUAGAAAUAUAAAGAAUUUAGUAGUGUUGACGAAAUUUCUUUUUGCUAUAGAGUAUUAGUACAGUGAUGGAAAUUGUUGAAAAAUUAAUUUGAAAAAUCCUAUAAUAAGAUAGUACUUUUAAUCAUAGGUACCUUUUGUAUUAGUGGCUAUUAAAAUUUUAUUAGAAAAUUUUUUCUCGAAAGUAAAAGAUCUAAUUGGAUUAUUAAGUUUUUGUGUCAAAAAAAUUUAUAAAAUCCGUUUAGGUGUGAGAUGCAAAUCGUUUUUACUAAUAUCUAGUAACUUUAGAAAAAAAUUUAGUUUGGGCCGCUAAGGAAUUCUUUAUUUUAAAGAAACUUUUUUUUGUAGUCUUAUAUUUUAGGGGAUGAGCUCUAAAAUAAAUUUAAAAGAAAAGGAAGCGUUAAUUUCUAAGUAGGCUUAGAAUUGGCCAAAAGAUAGUGUUAUAAGAUAGAAAUUUAGAUUUAGGAUUUAUUUUUCUUUUAAUUAAAUGAAGUUUAUAAAGAAAUAAUUUAGUUAUUGUAAAUAUGAUAGUAUAAGUAGAUGAAUCAAUUAUUUAGAAAUUUGUGUGAAUUUUUCUUAUAAAGGAAUUAUAUAAUUUAUGGCAAAAGAACUCGGCAAAUGAGAUUUCCGAAUGUUUAACAAAAACAUUUCCUCUUGAUAAAGGGAGGUAAGACCUGCUCACUGAAGUUUAAAGAGCCGCAGUAUCCUGACUGUGCUAAGGUAGCAUAAUCAUUAGUCUUUUAAUUGGAGACUGGUAUGAAUGGUUAAACGAGAAAUCAACUUUUUUUGCUAUAGAAAUCAAAUUUAAUUUUUUAGUGAAAAAGCUAAAAUUUCUCAGAAAGACGAGAAGACCCUAUAGAGUUUUAUAUUUUGAAUAAUUUUUUCUAAUUAGAUUUUUUUAGAUAAAAUUUUUUUAUAAUAUUUUGUUGGGGCGACAUUUAGAUAAGAAAAACUCUUUAUUUUUAAAACUUUAUUAAAAGAAUUGAAUGAUCCUUUAAAAAAGAUCAUAAGAAAAAAUUACCUUAGGGAUAACAGCGUAAUCUUUUUUGAGAGUUCUAAUCGACAAAAAGGUUUGCGACCUCGAUGUUGGACUAAAAUUUAGGCAAGGUGCAGUAGUUUUGCUUUAAGGUCUGUUCGACCUAUAAUAUUUUACACGAUCUGAGUUCAGACCGGCGUAAGCCAGGUUGGUUUCUAUCCUCUGAUUUUUUUUUAUCAGCUUAGUACGAAAGGAUUGGUUGGUUAUAAAAUUUAUAAUGAAAGAAUAACAUUAAAAUAGUUU